Lepisosteus oculatus (spotted gar) is the source of this 607-nucleotide non-coding RNA. NCBI's taxonomy places the organism in Eukaryota, Metazoa, Chordata, Actinopteri, Semionotiformes, Lepisosteidae. The record is from RefSeq and is a predicted model, not a curated record.
AUAAAUACAUUAUUAUUAUUAUUACGAUCUCAGGCUGCAGCUCUUUUUAAAUGGAGUUGUGUCAUUGUAGCUGCAUUUCAUGUUUUGACAUACCAUUUUAAUCUGGAGCACCAAAAAUCUGAUUAUGAGGAACUAUUGCACAACUCAAGGUGAUGCUUUGUGAAUAUGGAAUCUACCUGCUUUCUUGCUGAGGUUUAACUGCCCUUUAAGGUGAUGCUUUUACUUCAAGCAAUUUUGAUAUACAAAUGUUGGUAUUUUUAUACAGUUGGGUUGGCUGGAGCAAUCUGGGAGGGGCCACACUGCUUGGGGGUACAGCAGAAGUAUUCAGCAGGGACCCUUCUUGGGGUAAACUGGUUUGCGAAGUCUCCUGCCUCUUAAGCCUGCACACUUGUUCCAGCCCCAGACUUUGGGAGUGCCUGCUGGGACGUUCCAGGUAGUUCUGAUCAGUGGAGAUGAGAACCGCUGCCACAUCAGAUACGGUCUGGGUGCCAGGCUGUACGUGCCAGCCAACCCCAAGAUGCCCCCACGAGUUUAAAUGUGCACCCGACUGGGAGAGAGUGAGUCACGCAGACAUGCUCCUCUGGUGUGCCUGCUUGCAGAGCCAUUU